GACGAACGCUGGCGGCGUGCUUAACACAUGCAAGUCGAACGGUAAGGCCCUUCGGGGUACACGAGUGGCGAACGGGUGAGUAACACGUGGGUGAUCUGCCCCGCACUUCGGGAUAAGCCUGGGAAACUGGGUCUAAUACCGGAUAGGACCACUGCCUGCAUGGGUGGUGGUGGAAAGCUUUUGCGGUGUGGGAUGGGCCCGCGGCCUAUCAGCUUGUUGGUGGGGUGAUGGCCUACCAAGGCGACGACGGGUAGCCGGCCUGAGAGGGUGACCGGCCACACUGGGACUGAGAUCCGGCCCAGACUCCUACGGGAGGCAGCAGUGGGGAAUAUUGAUCAAUGGGCGCAAGCCUGAUGCAGCGACGCCGCGUGAGGGAUGACGGCCUUCGGGUUGUAAACCUCUUUCAGCACCGACGAAGCGCAAGUGACGGUAGGUGCAGAAGAAGGACCGGCCAACUACGUGCCAGCAGCCGCCGUAA
Molecule: ribosomal RNA, 478 nt
Filed under: uncultured bacterium
Lineage: Bacteria
Description: partial 16S ribosomal RNA
Rfam family: Bacterial small subunit ribosomal RNA
Source: RNAcentral